RNAcentral lists this long non-coding RNA (418 nucleotides) under Bos taurus (domestic cattle). RNAcentral describes it as "long non-coding RNA NONBTAT022543". Lineage: Eukaryota; Metazoa; Chordata; Mammalia; Artiodactyla; Bovidae. The record is from RNAcentral.
CCACAACCUCCAUGUGGGGGUAAAAUAGCAAGCAUGUCUUUCUGUUUACCCGGAAACCAUUAUGGCAGAGUCUGUAAAUGUUGAUUUUUAUUUUUAGAGGUUUCUGUGCUUUCCAAGGUGACCAGCUUUUAAAAUGCUGUCCUGAUUUUCAAUCACAGAGUCAUGGGAAAAGUAACCAAGGAUAUUGAGUACUUGAAAACUUUUUCUUCCCAUUGUUCCAGUUGUUUUCAUCUCAGUUCUACCUGCUCAUCAUUUUGGAAUACAAUUUUUUUUAAUGGAAUAGUUAGUUAAAUUUAGUCUCUGAAAUUAAUAUAGUCUCAAACUCACCGGGUAAAUUCAGAAUUUGGGAAUCCUGGUAGAACAAUGGCAGUAAAUCUAAGUGGCAAAAAAGUCACAUUUGGAAGACCUUUUUUUAGCA